GUGUUGAUAUAUACAUCGUAUAUUUAAUUUUUUGUAUGUUUUGAUUUUUAUUUGUAUAUUUUAUUGAGUUAAUUGUCCUGAAUUUUUGUUAUUGGAGAGAGGGCAAGAGACGUACAGAGUAAGAGAGAGAGAGAGAGAGAGACUGAGAGAUAGGAACAGUGGGAGAGAUGGAUAGAGUGAGAGAGGGAGACACACAGAGAGAUAGGGAGAUAUGAAAGAGAGGGGAUGGAGGGAGGGAGAUAGAUUUUCUAUGUCUUUGUGUAAUUAUCUUUCACGUUUAGCUAUUUAUAUUCUUUGGACUUCUGUUUAGUUUAGUUACUAUGUCUUUGCUACUUUGAAUCGGUUGGAGAAUGUAAUAUUAUUUAGUGGGUUGAGUUGAGUAGUUAAAAUUAUUAAACAAGGCAUGAGAGAACCAAUAAACAUUUAUAAGUGGUUGGGGAUGAGCCUGAGUUUAGAAGUGAAUUCAUUCAAUGUUAUAAAUGUAUACUUGAUGUCACUUGUUUAAAAUUGUUUGUUUAUAAUAACAUGUAUGUUGUUUUUCUAAUACAACUGGAAAACGGCACAAGUGAGCUGAAUUUCUUAGUGGUCAUUAUGCCGGUGAGGAUUUGUGUCCUAAAUUUGAACAGGGUGUCCUAAAUUUCCAGCAUCAGAGGACUUCCCAUUUACUAGAUCAACAUGGAAAUGUUAGCGGCAGACUAUUAGUUUAGGACAGCUACAUUGACAAAGAUUAUCUGCCAGCUAAGAGAGGUUAUGUGGGAUUAGAACCACCAGGAGAUACUGGUUCGUGGCAAAAAGAAUGCAAGGACUAUCAGUUCUGGACAAAUACAGCUGAGUCGGGCUACUUCUCUAUCAAAAACAUACACGUUGGAAACUAUACUUUUUAAUAAUUUUGUUGGUUGUGCAAUGUUUUGUGGCAAUACAAAGGAAGUGCCCAAAAUGCAGUUAGCUUUCACCGAGAGCAAACAUAUGACAACAUGAAGUUAGAGCUCUUUUAUCGGCUGGGAUCAUAAAAACAAGAUCAGGAAAUGCACGCUCAUCCAUAUUCCUUAGCAUUUCUUCGCUAUUGCCAUACUUUUAGACAAUGAUGGAUUUAUUAUAGAAAACAGUAGUAUUAUGAAUUCUUAUAUAACUGGUGCAUUGAUGUUGAUUAUGGAUGUAUUGGAUGUUAGGAAUUAUAUGGGAAUCAUGUAAAUACUGACUAUACAUUGUAAAAUAUUAUAAUUUUAGUGUUGCAUUU
Molecule: long non-coding RNA, 1237 nt
Organism: Daucus carota subsp. sativus
Lineage: Eukaryota; Viridiplantae; Streptophyta; Magnoliopsida; Apiales; Apiaceae
Exons: 4
Source: RefSeq, a predicted model, not a curated record